GCAGAACCCUUCCAGUGUCCCUGUGCAAGCCCAGGCUACCAGUGUUGGGACCCAGCCGCCUGCCGUGUCCGUGGCCAGCUCCCACAACAGCUCCCCCUAUCUCAGCAGCCAGCAACAGGCCGCUGUAAUGAAGCAGCAUCAGUUGCUUUUGGACCAACAGAAACAAAGGGAGCAGCAGCAAAAGCAUUUACAGCAACAGCAGUUCCUUCAGAGGCAACAGCACCUUCUCGCGGAACAGGAGAAGCAACAGUUUCAGCGCCAUCUGACCCGCCCACCACCCCAGUACCAAGACCCGACACAAGGCAGCUUCCCACAGCAGGUUGGACAGUUCACAGGGUCCUCUGCUGCCGUGCCCGGCAUGAACACCUUGGGUCCAUCCAACUCCAGCUGUC
This 392-nucleotide small RNA is filed under the name Pan troglodytes (chimpanzee). Its description in RNAcentral is "retained intron". The record is from RNAcentral. Lineage: Eukaryota; Metazoa; Chordata; Mammalia; Primates; Hominidae.